Molecule: ribosomal RNA, 442 nt
Filed under: uncultured bacterium
Lineage: Bacteria
Description: partial 16S ribosomal RNA
Rfam family: Bacterial small subunit ribosomal RNA
Source: RNAcentral
CCUACGGGAGGCAGCAGUGAGGAAUAUUGGGCAAUGGGCGCAAGCCUGACCCAGCAACGCCGCGUGAAGGAAGAAGGCUUUCGGGUUGUAAACUUCUUUUAAGAGGGAAGAGCAGAAGACGGUACCUCUUGAAUAAGCCACGGCUAACUACGUGCCAGCAGCCGCGGUAAUACGUAGGUGGCAAGCGUUGUCCGGAUUUACUGGGUGUAAAGGGCGUGCAGCCGGGAAGACAAGUCAGAUGUGAAAUCCCGGGGCUCAACCGCGGAACUGCAUUUGAAACUGUUUUUCUUGAGUACCGGAGAGGUCAUCGGAAUUCCUUGUGUAGCGGUGAAAUGCGUAGAUAUAAGGAAGAACACCAGUGGCGAAGGCGGAUGACUGGACGGCAACUGACGGUGAGGCGCGAAAGCGUGGGGAGCAAACAGGAUUAGAUACCCUUGUAGUC